Molecule: ribosomal RNA, 463 nt
Filed under: uncultured bacterium
Lineage: Bacteria
Description: partial 16S ribosomal RNA
Rfam family: Bacterial small subunit ribosomal RNA
Source: RNAcentral
GAUGAACGCUGACAGAAUGCUUAACACAUGCAAGUCUUUGGUGAAGCUGUGCUUGCACAGCCUAGCCAAGGCGGACGGGUGAGUAACGCGUAAGGAACUUGCCCUGCAGUCAGGGAUAACAGACGGAAACGACUGAUAAGACCUGGUAAAGUCAGGCGGACUCAUGUCCAGCCUGAUGAAAAGAGAUGCUGCAGGAGAGCCUUGCGUCCUAUUAGCUUGUUGGUGGGGUAACGGCCCACCAAGGCAAUGAUAGGUAGCCGGCCUGAGAGGGUGGACGGCCACAAGGGGACUGAGAUACGGCCCUUACGCCUACGGGAGGCAGCAGUGGGGAAUAUUGGACAAUGGGGGCAACCCUGAUCCAGCAAUUCUGUGUGCACGAUGAAGGUUUUCGGAGUGUAAAGUGCUUUCAGCAGGGAAGAAAAAAAUGACGGUACCUGCAGAAGAAGCGACGGCUAAAUACGUG